GUAACGUAAACUAUUGUUGCAGACUGAGUUGGGAUCUUCAAAAGAAACAUGCUAUGGGAGAAAAAAAGAGUUGUUACAGGGAUGUUACGAAGAGAGAAAAGAUAUUGGAAUUCUACUGCUGCUACAAAAACAGGAUGAUUUGAUUCAUUUCAAAAGAAGAUCUGAAUAAGGAAGGAAACUCAUAUACACUUACAAAAAGAAACAGGGAAGAAAUGAGUGGAUGGAAGAAAAGUAAUGUAUUUGUUAAGAAAGUCUCUGUUUUGGCAAGGAUAAACUUGUGCUGCAAAAAUCAGUCCUGAGCAUGGAUCCUCAAGUGCUGUUGACUGAACUUCACUACUAUAUUGACAGCUUCUGAUUAUUACUACCUGGAACUGCAGUUGAAGGGGUAACCCAGAGAUGAAAGGACUCCUCUGAAAUUCAUUCCUGAAACCCUUUAGUCACUAAGAGAAAAAGAAAGUGGGAGCAAGAAACUGGCUAAGACAAGUCUGAGGAAGAUGAAAUUAUGGCUAAGAAGAAAAAAAGAAGGAGAAUAUUUUCAAGAUGGAAAAGUUAACAGCCUUCACUAAAACCAUUGUGCUGCUUUAUAUUUUCUAAGAUGAAUGGAAGGGAUGGUAGGACUCCAACCCUGCGAGCACCAGUGGGAUGUACCCUGGAGAGGGGCAGUUCACCUUGGAGAGGUGGAAACAGGAACGAGGUGACGGUUUUAACACACUGCCCAAACCCCCUCCCACAGUGCCGUAAGGGCAAGGCUGCGGAGGAGCCACAUUUGAAGCAUCACAGAUCUAAAGUAUAUAUUGGUUAUGAACCUCACCUGCAUUAUACGAUUGUAAAAGAAAGGAGGCAGGAAAAGGAAAUCUGGGGAAUGUAUUGCCUUGCUUUAAUUGCUCUGGUUCCUGAAGAGAAUUAUUGUGGGAGAAGGUGCCCAGCGGCUGAGGCAGUGCAUGCUUGGUCUGUGGCUCAAUGCUGUCCCCUGAUGAGCUUUGAGACAGAUGUCUAUAAUGCUGUUUUUUUGGUUGUGUGAUGUUCACUUGUGAAAUCUCUUCAUCUUUUGUCUUUGCACCCUUUGUAAUGAUCUUUACAAUUCACAAGAAACAAAGAAGUCAUGCUGUUACAUGAUUUUAAAAAAUAUCUCCCUGGGACUGGGAUUAUCAGAACCCACCUGAGCAUAAAAGGAAGGGGAAGCAGCAGUACAAAACUAAGCUCAGCUCCCAACCGCAGAUGGCUAGAAGUCAAUUUUGCUGCUCGAGGUUCAAGGAUGUAGGGGCUGUUUCUCUUGACUCCUUUGGCUCAGCUUUCAUUAAAAAGUCUCCAUUUGAUGUUAUAGGUCUGUGCCCAGUGUCUUUUUUAUGUAAACUGCUUACAUAACCCACAAGCAAAGCUUGUGUAAGACUUUCUUAGGUAAAGCAAGAGUUACUUUAAAUGGCACUUAAACCCACCUGCUUCACUGGAAGGGUCUUUCUCAUAGAG
RNAcentral lists this long non-coding RNA (1467 nucleotides) under Apteryx owenii (little spotted kiwi). RNAcentral's name for it is "lncRNA (ENSAOWG00000005723.1)". Lineage: Eukaryota; Metazoa; Chordata; Aves; Apterygiformes; Apterygidae. The record is from RNAcentral.